AGUGAACGCUGGCGGUAGGCCUAACACAUGCAAGUCGAACGGCAGCACAGUAAGAGCUUGCUCUUACGGGUGGCGAGUGGCGGACGGGUGAGGAAUACAUCGGAAUCUACUUUUUCGUGGGGGAUAACGUAGGGAAACUUACGCUAAUACCGCAUACGACCUACGGGUGAAAGCAGGGGAUCUUCGGACCUUGCGCGAUUGAAUGAGCCGAUGUCGGAUUAGCUAGUUGGCGGGGUAAAGGCCCACCAAGGCGACGAUCCGUAGCUGGUCUGAGAGGAUGAUCAGCCAGACUGGAACUGAGACACGGUCCAGACUCCUACGGGAGGCAGCAGUGGGGAAUAUUGGACAAUGGGCGCAAGCCUGAUCCAGCCAUACCGCGUGGGCGAAGAAGGCCUUCGGGUUGUAAAGCCCUUUUGUUGGGAAAGAAAAGCAGCAGGUUAAUACCCCGCUGUUCUGACGGUACCCAAAGAAUAAGCACCGGCUAACUUCGUG
This 492-nucleotide ribosomal RNA is filed under the name uncultured bacterium. RNAcentral's name for it is "partial 16S ribosomal RNA". It matches the Rfam family "Bacterial small subunit ribosomal RNA", at positions 29 to 507 of the family's 1533-position model. The record is from RNAcentral.